AUAUAAUACCUUAUAUAUGAUAUAUCCUAUAUAAUACCUUAUAUAUGAUAUAUUAUAUCCUAUAUAAUACAUUAUAUAUGAUAUAUCAAUCAUAUAUGAUAUAUUAUAUGUGAUAUAUAUGAUAUAUGAUAUAUGUGAUAUAUGAUAUAUAUGAUAUAUGACAUGUAAUAUAUGAUAUAUAAUAUAUAAUAUUAUAUAUCAUGUUAUGUAUAAUAUAUAUCAUACAUUAUAUAUUAUAUAUGAUGUAUAUGAUAUACAACAUAUGAUAUAUAAUAUAUAAUAUAUUAUAAUGUAUAUAUCUAUUAUAUAUUAUAUAUUAUAUAUAUGAUCAUAUAUUAGAUAUGAUCAUAUAUAAUAUAUAAUCAUAUUAUAUAUUAUAUAUGUUUGCAUAAACAAAUAAAGAAAACCUACACUUGACUUUGUCUCCCUGCUCUUUAACAUUUUGUUGUUUCCAUUUACAUCUUAUUGUAUUGUCUAUGUCUUGAAAAGUUGUUCUAGUUAUUAUUUUUGACUGGUUCAUCAUUUAGCCUUUUUAGUUCAGGAAAGAGUUGUUUACACACCACAGUUAGAGUGUUGUACAUUCUGUGUUUUCCUGGAUACUUACUAUUACAGUGAGUUUUGUACCUUCAGAUGAUUUCUUAUCCUUGGCUGUUUUCAUGUGGUAUUGGGCCAGCAGGUCCACAGAGGUGAAGAAUUGAGGUUUGAAAACCUCUGACUAGAUUUCAGAAGAUGUAUGAAUAUGCCUGCCUAUCCAGGAAUAUGUAUGCUACUAAGGGAGCCCUCACGGAGAACCGCUGCUAGGGUAGUGCAGGAGGGAAAUGUGAGGUUGGGUCCCCAAACAGAGUCCCCACUAAGACACUGCUUACUGGAGCGGUGA
This 877-nucleotide long non-coding RNA is filed under the name Pan troglodytes (chimpanzee). Its description in RNAcentral is "long non-coding RNA NONPTRT010371". The record is from RNAcentral. Lineage: Eukaryota; Metazoa; Chordata; Mammalia; Primates; Hominidae.